AUUGCCCCAGUAACGGCGAGUGAAGCGGCAAUAGCUCAAAUUUGAAAUCUGGCUCUUUUAGGGUCCGAGUUGUAAUUUGCAGAGGGCGCUUUGGCGUUGGCAGCGGUCCAAGUUCUUUGGAACAGGACGUCACAGAGGGUGAGAAUCCCGUACGUGGUCGCUAUCCUUCGCCGUGUAAAGCCCCUUCGACGAGUCGAGUUGUUUGGGAAUGCAGCUCUAAAUGGGAGGUAAAUUUCUUCUAAAGCUAAAUACUGGCCAGAGACCGAUAGCGCACAAGUAGAGUGAUCGAAAGAUGAAAAGCACUUUGGAAAGAGAGUCAAAUAGCACGUGAAAUUGUUGAAAGGGAAGCGCUUGCAGCCAGACUUGCCUGUAGUUGCUUAUCCAGACUUUUGUCUGGUGCACUCUUCUGCGGGCAGGCCAGCAUCAGUUUGGGCGGUUAGAUAAAGGUCUCUGUCAUGUACCUCUCUUCGGGGAGGCCUUAUAGGGGAGACGACAUGUAACCAGCCUGGACUGAGGUCCGCGCAUCUGCUAGGAUGCUGGCGUAAUGGCUGUAAGCGGCCCGUCUUGAAACACGGACCAAGGAGUCUAACAUCUAUGCGAGUGUUUGGGUGUCAAGCCCAGACGCGUAAUGAAAGUGAACGGAGGUAAGAACCCUUUGGGUGCAUUAUCGACCGAUCCUGAUGUCUUCGGAAGGAUUUGAGUAAGAGCAUGGCUGUUGGGACCCGAAAGAUGGUGAACUAUGCUUGAAUAGGGUGAAGCCAGAGGAAACUCUGGUGGAGGCUCGCAGCGGUUCUGACGUGCAAAUCGAUCGUCAAAUUUGGGCAUAGGGGCGAAAGACUAAUCG
RNAcentral lists this ribosomal RNA (844 nucleotides) under Nodulosphaeria digitalis. RNAcentral describes it as "eukaryotic LSU rRNA". It matches the Rfam family "Eukaryotic large subunit ribosomal RNA", at positions 74 to 937 of the family's 3401-position model. Lineage: Eukaryota; Fungi; Ascomycota; Dothideomycetes; Pleosporales; Phaeosphaeriaceae. The record is from RNAcentral.